GUGCUCGCUUCAGCAGCACAUAUACUAAAAUUGGAACGAUGCGGAAAAGAUUAGCAUGGCCCCUGCUCAAGGAUGACAUGCAAAUUCAUGAAGCGUUCCAUAUUUUU
Molecule: small nuclear RNA, 107 nt
Filed under: Jaculus jaculus (lesser Egyptian jerboa)
Lineage: Eukaryota; Metazoa; Chordata; Mammalia; Rodentia; Dipodidae
Source: RNAcentral